GAAUAUAAAGUUUAAAAUAUGUACAUACAUACAAAGAAAUAAAGUAUCAAACGAAAUUAAAGUGAAGCAUUUGUCGAAAAAAGGCGGCGAUGCAGAAGUAAAAGAAUAAGCAAUGUGAAAGAAAGUAACUCGAGACUAGUGUUUGGGUGGCAAACGUGGAAAAAACAACAACAACAAUAGCAGAGCAGAAGCAGAAAAUGCAAGUGUGGAGAAGUGGAAAUCGUUGAUGCGCUCUGGAAUUGUUACAAAUUAAUUUAAAUGGAGUAGGUACAUAGUCGAUAAAUGUAGUGAAAACAAAACGCGAAGAAAAUUGCUUGCAAUGCAAUAAAAUACAAAAGUGUGCGAAGAAAAUACAUUUGAAACAGUGAAAUGGAUUUAGUGUGAAUGGAACGAAGAAAAUUAAUAAGACCGAAG
This is a long non-coding RNA of Rhagoletis zephyria (snowberry fruit fly), 414 nucleotides long. RefSeq lists it as uncharacterized. The record is from RefSeq and is a predicted model, not a curated record. Lineage: Eukaryota; Metazoa; Arthropoda; Insecta; Diptera; Tephritidae.